UUCUUAUGAUGAAAACUCUGUCCAGUUCUGCUACUGAAGGGAAAAACCUAAAAAAA
This 56-nucleotide small nucleolar RNA is filed under the name Ursus americanus (American black bear). The record is from RNAcentral. Lineage: Eukaryota; Metazoa; Chordata; Mammalia; Carnivora; Ursidae.